AGUUAAUGAUCUUGAAUAAGAAUAUAUUUUGAAAAUAUAUUAUAGAAAUACUAAUUUUCUAUUAACUU
Molecule: transfer RNA, 68 nt
Filed under: Ochetellus glaber
Lineage: Eukaryota; Metazoa; Arthropoda; Insecta; Hymenoptera; Formicidae
Description: tRNA-Ser
Source: RNAcentral